GAUGGAAUCGGCGUAACUUAGUGGCGGACGGGUGAGUAACGCGUGGGAAACCUGCCCUGUACCGGGGGAUAACACUUAGAAAUAGGUGCUAAUACCGCAUAAGCGCACAGCUUCACAUGAGGCAGUGUGAAAAACUCCGGUGGUACAGGAUGGUCCCGCGUCUGAUUAGCCAGUUGGCAGGGUAACGGCCUACCAAAGCGACGAUCAGUAGCCGGCCUGAGAGGGUGAACGGCCACAUUGGGACUGAGACACGGCCCAAACUCCUACGGGAGGCAGCAGUGGGGAAUAUUGCACAAUGGGGGAAACCCUGAUGCAGCGACGCCGCGUGAGUGAAGAAGUAUUUCGGUAUGUAAAGCUCUAUCAGCAGGGAAGAAAAUGACGGUACCUGACUAAGAAGCCCCGGCUAACUACGUGCCAGCAGCCGCGGUAAUACGUAGGGGGCAAGCGUUAUCCGGAUUUACUGGGUGUAAAGGGAGCGUAGACGGCAUGACAAGCCAGAUGUGAAAACCCAGGGCUCAAACCUGGGACUGCAUUUGGAACUGCCAGGCUGGAGUGCAGGAGAGGUAAGCGGAAUUCCUAGUGUAGCGGUGAAAUGCGUAGAUAUUAGGAGGAACACCAG
Molecule: ribosomal RNA, 619 nt
Filed under: uncultured Lachnospiraceae bacterium
Lineage: Bacteria; Bacillati; Bacillota; Clostridia; Lachnospirales; Lachnospiraceae
Description: bacterial SSU rRNA
Rfam family: Bacterial small subunit ribosomal RNA
Source: RNAcentral